RNAcentral lists this long non-coding RNA (2526 nucleotides) under Marmota monax (woodchuck). The record is from RNAcentral. Lineage: Eukaryota; Metazoa; Chordata; Mammalia; Rodentia; Sciuridae.
UUGAAGUCUAUGGGAGCCCGAUAAUGUCUGGUUGGAUAAACCAAAGGAUGUGUAAAGCACUAUAUUGAUUCUCAAAAUUAAUAAAUAGUCCACUGAGGAUAAUUUUAAAAAUUAAAUUUUGGUAACAAAUCUGAGGAUAUUCAGCUAAUUAAUUAUAGUACAUAAUUUUUAGCACACCUGUAAAAGAAUACUGAAAUACUAUAAUAUUUCAAAUAAUAUGUGUGUGUGUGUGUGUGUGUGUGUGUGUAAUACCAGCUCCCAAGGUAGGGAAAAGCCUAUAUCAAUUCCGAAUGUACUGUAUGUGAAAGUGACAGUCUUGUUUUGCUGCUAGGUUCUACCCCCUGCCUGGAGCAGUUAGGUGAAUACUCCUGGCCCAAUGGUGACACCUGGUGGUCAGGACACUUGUUGGCUACCUUCUUAAGUCAGUUAUUUAGUCAUUGCAGGCAAACAUGUCCACUAGGCUUUUUGAAUAUUAUUAUUAUUAUUAUUAUUAUUAUUAUUAUUUUGGUACCGGAGCUUGAACUCAGGAGUACUGGACCACUGAGCCACAUCCCCAGCCCUAUUUUGUAUUUUAUAUUUAUAGACAGGGUCUGGCUGAAUUGCUUAGCGCCUCACCAUUGCUGAGGCUGGCUUUGAACUCACAAUCCUCCUGAAAUAUACUAUCCUAUUUAAUUCUCACAGCAAGCCUAGGGAUCCACAUUUUGUGAAUAAAUGAUUCAAAGUCUCCACAGAUGUUAUGUGUAAUGCCGAGAUUCUGAUACAGGUGUAAUGUCAAACAGGGUGAUGCCAGAUAAAGGGGGAAAGUGUGUUCUGUGCUGAAGUGUUUCUAAAUAGGCAACUUCCUAAUGGUUUUAAGGUGCAGUAGGUAUCAUUUGAUUUGUCCUCUGCAAGACUUGGAAAUGAAAAACUAUCCUGUGAUAAGCUUCACCCUUUCUCUUCCAACUAAAAUCUGGCUUUAAUCAAGGUAAACACAGGUAAAGUAAGCAUAUUGCUUGAUUUUUUGUUCAUUUUUUUACCUUUUAGGCUGAGCAGAGAAUGAGAAAAGUCUGAUUCUUGAUUUAUUUCCCCCUUGUUCCUCAAUUCUUUUAAAAAUUUAAUUUUUUUUUUCAGAAUAUUAUGUAGUUGGAAUCGAACAGUUUGGAGCCCUUUCAGACUGGUGUCUUUUGCUUAGUAAUGUGCAUCUAAGCUUCCUCCAUGUCUUUUCAUGGCUUCCUAACUUUUUUUAGUGCUUAAUAAUAUUCUGUUAUCUAGAAUUCAAUUCAUUUGUUUUCAUCAGAACAUCUUUAUUGCUUUCAAGUUUGGGCAGUUAUGAGUAAAGAAGCUAUAAACAUGCAUAGUUAGGGUUUUAUAUGGAUAUGUUUUCAAUUCACUGGAUUAAAUACCAGAGAACAUGACUGCUGGACCACAUGGUGAAAAUGUAGUCCAUGCUUUAUAAAGGUGAAUGGUUCACUGGAGGCCAAUAAUUAAUAUUCUGCUUUGUAAACAUGUAACUUAAGGUCAAAAAAGUUAAAUGACUUACUCAAGUAUUAUACUAGUAAUAAGUGAUAGAGCAGGUCUAAACUUUGGGUUUUCUCCCUACUGGUCCAAGACUUUUUACUGUCUUAUGUGGCUUCCUCAUUACAUGACAGAGAAAAAGUUUAGAUUUCUUACCCAGAGGUCUAAGUCUAAAAUUAUCACACAGCUCAAAAAAGACUGCAGUAAUGUCAUACCUAGAACUGGGUGGGGAAAAAGGUACAAGCUAGAAAAGUAUAAUAUUUUAAGACCUUCAAGAGUGAUGAGGAUAUUAAAGUUUCAAAUAAACCCAAGUGUUUUAUUUAUGUUUAAAACUUGUUAAGUCGAUAGUGAAAUAGCAACUUACAGGAGGAAUGAAAAUACUUACAAAUCCCAUAUCCCAUAGGGUUUAAUAUCCGGAGUUGGGCUGGGUUUGUGGAUCAGUGGGAGGGCACUUGCCUAGCAUGUGUGAGGCACUGGGUUCAAUUUUAAGCACCACGUAGAAAAAUAAAUAAAAUAAAGUUAUUAUGUCCAAUUAUAACUAAAAAUGUUUUUUUAAAAAAUACCCAAAGUAAUGGGCUGGGGUUGUAGCUCAGCGGUAGAGUGCUUGCCUAUCAUGUGUGAGGCCCUGCAUCACAUAAAAAUAAAUAAGUAAAAUUAAGGUAUGUGUCGAACUACAACUAAAAAAUAAUUUUUUUAAAAAUCCAAAGUAAAUAAAGAACUCCUUCAACUCAACAACAAUAAAUUUUGAUUAACAAAUGGGCAAAGGAUUUCUCCAAAGAAGUUGCACAAAUGACCAAUAAGCACAAGAUGUACAGCAUCACUUAUCAUUAGGGAAAUGAAAAUCAAAACUACAAUUAGGUUACCAACAAUAAAAAUUAAAAAAAAAAAAAACAACUACAAUUAGGAACCACCUCACACCCAUUAGGAUUGGCUACUAUUCAAAAAUAAUAAUAAUAAUAACAAAUGUUGACAAGGGAAUGGAAAAAUAGGAACCUUCUUGUGUUGUUGGUCGGGUAAUAUAAAAUAGUGCAG